This 505-nucleotide ribosomal RNA is filed under the name uncultured bacterium. RNAcentral describes it as "partial 16S ribosomal RNA". It matches the Rfam family "Bacterial small subunit ribosomal RNA", at positions 28 to 507 of the family's 1533-position model. The record is from RNAcentral.
GACGAACGCUGGCGGCGUGCCUAAUACAUGCAAGUCGAACGCACAGUUUAUACCGUAGCUUGCUGCACCAUAGACUGUGGGUUGCGAACGGGUGAGUAACGCGUAGGUAACCUGCCUGGUAGCGGGGGAUAACUAUUGGUAACGCUAGCUAAUACCGCAUGCUAUUCAUUAUUGCAUGAUAAUUUAUUGAAAGAUGCAAUUGCAUCACUACCAGAUGGACCUGCGUUGUAUUAGCUAGUAGGUGAGGUUACGGCUCACCUAGGCGACGAUACAUCGCCGACCUGAGAGGGUGAGCGGCCACCCUGGGACGGUGACACGGCACAGAGGCCCACGGGAGGGAGCCGGAGGGCAACUGCGGGAAGGGACGAAAGACUGUGCGAGCAACGCGGCGUGAGGGAGGAAGGUUGUCGGAUCGGAAAGCUCGGUCGUAAGAGUAGAACGGGCGUGAGAGUGGAAAGUUCACACUGUGACGGUAAUUUAUCAGAAAGGGACGGCUAACUACGUG